GGAAAUGAAGAGUAUUAGGAUAAAGAAUGAUGUAGAUUAAUCCAGGAGAAGUCAAUUUCCCUGUUUCCUAGACUGGCUCAGUUUGACAUCAGUUCCAGUUGUCUCCAUUAUAUACAAGCACACUUAACAACAACAUGUUCUGUCACCAGGGGGAACAAAUUCCUGAUUCUUCCAAAUGAGUUCUAAGGAAGCAGGGGAUAAAGAAAGGAGGUAAAUGUUUGGAGUGGAUAAAUCUGUCUGCCCAGCAGAGAGUAUCCCAGGACUCCAAGUGCUACUUUUCACAGAAUUGUCUUGAGAAAUCCAUAUGAAAUGGAAUUGUCAUGGAAUAACCAGGGACUGUUCGCCUGAAGAAAGAGGCUUUCUAGAUUCUGCUUCCUCCAGUGCUGAGAUCCUGGUACAUGAAGUGUCUGGGACCAGGAUUCUGCUUCACUCCAUUACAUGGAGGUAAAAACUGAGGACCCAUUGCCUCAGCUCUCACUGCUGACUUGUGCAAAUUCACCCAGUAAGUCUGGAACUGAACUGAGCUGAGAACCCUGGUUUCCCAAGUGUGAUCCUGGUGCUUAAGAGCUGAUGAUGAAGGGGGAAGUCGCUUGCAAUUAGCCACACUUCCCUGGCUUACAAAAAUAGAGUUGCUAUUUCACACUGCUGGUAAUUGCUCUAUUUUCUGCCUACAAAACUUUUGCUUCUAUAUGGCUGACCUCAGCUGAAGAAAACCGCAUUGAAAGAAAGAACAGAUGCAAGUCUCUGCUUGAAGAUUAGUGUCAGAGGUGGUUUCUGGUGGAGGUUUAAUUCCACAGAGCUCAGAUUUCCAUUUACUAGUAUACUCAGGCUAAAAAGUGGGUUUCUUUUAUUAUUAAAGCAGUUUGGCUUUGUGGAAGGUUCAUGCGAAUGUUUUCACUUUGAGAGUAUCAGUGCCAGAGCCUGACUUCUGUAAUCCUGUGGCAUGCUCUUCUCUUUUACCAUUGCUCUUCUCCUUGAAUAUCAGCCUAACAGCCUCUAGACUUUGCAGGACCUGCAUGCUGAAGGACCACACUGAGUAGCAGUAAGGUCUGAGUAGGGCUGUGACACACAGAAUGGGGAAGCAGGAGCACUGAAGAUCAGGAGAAGCAGAAUGAAAGCACAGGAGUGACACUCACCAGCUCAGCAGAGUUGACAACUGGAGGCUGAAGAGCUCUGGGGAGGAAUGUGCAUCUCUUACUUAUGUCUUUACCUGGUCACAGUCAAAUGUACAGGGCUUAUUCAUGUCACUAACCCACUUCUUAGUCAUGAGCAGUGAGAAAUCAGUUAGCAUUUUUUUCAUCUCCUUUACAAAAAGAAAAAUCCAGCAGCCAAAGACAAUAGAGGAGAAACAGAUGUAAAUCAACAUGAAAUAUUUUAAGACUGCAGAGAGUACUACAGGUAAAUAUGGGCUAGAUGGUCAGCAGCAGUAGGUGUGAGGAAUGAAUGGGAUAGAAAUACAACGGUUCAGCAGGGACAGACAGGUUGUCACAAUAACUCUUCUGAAUUGUUUACUAAAUUUUGUUUACAGUAUAAACAUUUUGCUCAAGGGCUGCUAAAAAGAUUUAAGAGAACCGAGUAAAAAUGUUCUCUGCUCUAUAAACUGCUACUGCUUUGCCUUUCCUAUCUGGGUAGCAGAAUAAAUGAGAGCUACAAAAAUACCAUUGCAACUAACACUGCACAUCAUUUUUCAGUUGGUGAAGUGACCAAACAAUAUAUUCUCUGCUUUGCAGAGGAAAGAAAUUAAAGGGGAGACAAAACUCUUUGGAGGGUCCUUUAGGAGCAUUGUGUCAAAGGGUGGCACUUGGGGUCCCCUUGCAUAGCACUGUAGUUUAGUUGUUUGAAGAUGCUGAAGUGCAUAAUGUGGCUGCAAAGCUCAUUAGAAAAAUUAAUUCACUCUAUUCAUUUUUCAUUUUUCCACUCCUGACAUGCAGCCUUUUACAUCUGGAAUUACUUGAAGAUAAAGUCAUUUUCAAAAUAUUUUUUUCUGGUUGCUUUUAGUAGAUUAUAAACUGGAUGUUCAUGGAAACUGCAAAAGUUUUUUUCCACUUGGGGUCUCCAGCAUGACACUCUUCAUACUGAACAGACAGGUAGUGCUAUUCAAAAGAAUGAGGGCCACAGAGGAAGAGCAGAAGACUUUUUAAAUUCAAUUCACAGAUAUGAUAACCAGCAGGUGAUCCAACAUCUGUUAGUAGGUGGACACAAGUUUGGAGCCCUGGCUGCUCAUAUUUAAGGUUUUGGUACUCACCUGCAAGACAAAGUCAUUAAUGCUAUGCUGACAUGAAAGAUGUGGAAUCUAGCUGGAAGGAAGUUACCUGAAAGCCAUAGAUGGGUUUGGGGUCUCUUACCACCUGUGAGCUGGCUAAGCCAUAUGGUUGUUAUGCUUUGUGGGCCUUAAAAGGAUUCACCUGGUCAGCAUGUGCAACAAAUAACAAUUUCCCUUGUGAAGGGUUGGGGAUAACUACAAAGUUUGGUAAUUAGUGUGAAAGAUACAAGAAAGAAUGGAGGUUAAUAAAACGUUCCCUUCUAUGCUAAACAGAAACCAAAUUGCAGUUAUUCAGAAGGCUGCUUGCCUUAAAGUGUCUCUUCCUUUGUUUGCAAUCUAACAUUUGGGUCGAAUGUUUCACUGCUGGGAGUAACUUUGUCAAUUGGAAGCUCAAAUUCAUCCAAUCAAGCCUGCAAUAAAGGCAGGCACUGAGGGCUCCUGUGCAGUGCUACAAGGACAUGUUGCUUCAGGAUAGCGUCUUCAAAACUGCUAAUUGAUGGAGAUCUCACCCUGUGAAAUUCAGUAUAGCGUUUCCUCUGAAGUCAUUAAAGUGUUCUUAUGCAAGACACUCCUCCUGCAAUUAAUUAGCUGUUUGUGUGGGCAUUUAUUUAUCUGAAGACAUAAAAUUAGACCCUCAGUUGACAUAAAUGAUUCCAG
Molecule: long non-coding RNA, 2920 nt
Organism: Tympanuchus pallidicinctus (lesser prairie-chicken)
Lineage: Eukaryota; Metazoa; Chordata; Aves; Galliformes; Phasianidae
Exons: 2
Source: RefSeq, a predicted model, not a curated record